GGUCAAGCUACUAAGGGCAUGUGGUGGAUGCCUUGGCACUCAGAGGCGAUGAAGGACGUGGGUGGCUGCGAUAAGCCAGGGGGAGGAGCUAACCAUCCCGUGAUCCCUGGAUCUCCGAAUGGGGAAACCCGGUGCCCGUCGUGAGUGACCCUCACGCCGGAGCAUCAACCUCGCAAGAGGUGGCAAACCCGGGGAACUGAAACAUCUCAGUACCCGGAGGAAGAGAAAUCAAACGAGAAUCCGCUAGUAGCGGCGAGCGAACGCGGACGAGCCCAAACCGGCCCAGUGCAAGCCUGCCGGCGUUGCUGGGUCGGGGUUGCGGGAUCUCGUCGGAGGAAUCGGCAGGUUCCUCGGGGAGUUACAAACCAGAGCCUGGGAGGGGAACGUCCCUGGAAAGGACGGCCAUAGAGAGUGACAGCCUCGUACCCGAAUCCGCAUCUGGCUCCCUGGACGAGACACCCAAGUACGGCGGGACACGUGGAACCCUGCCGGAAUCCGGGAGGACCAUCUUCCAAGGCUAAACACUCCUGAGUGACCGAUAGUGAACCAGUACCGUGAGGGAAAGGUGAAAAGUACCCCCGCUAGGGGAGUGAAAUAGUACCUGAAACCGCAUGCCUACAAGCAGUUCGAGGGCUAUGGCCGCAAGGCAAUGCCUGAGAGCGUACCUUUUGCAUCAUGAGCCAACGAGUUGCGACUCUGCAGCAAGGUUAAGCCGAAGGAGGCGUAGCCGUAGGGAAACCAAGUCUGAACAGGGCGUUCAGUUGCAGGGUGCAGACCCGAAACCAGUCGAUCUAUCCAUGGGCAGGGUGAAACGUGGGUAAAACCACACGGAGGCCCGAACCCACCGUCGUUGAAAAGACGGGGGAUGACCUGUGGAUCGGAGUGAAAGGCUAAUCAAGGCUGGAGAUAGCUGGUUCUCCCCGAAACAUAUUGAGGUAUGGCCUCGACGAAAUCAGGGGCGGAGGUAGAGCACUGGAUGGGCUAGGGGGCCUACCAGCUUACCAAACCCAACCAAACUUCGAAUUCCGUCCGCUGUUACGUCGGGAGACAGUCCACGAGCGAUAAGGUCCGUGGGCGAGAGGGAAAGACCCCAGACCGCCGGCUAAGGUCCCCAAGCACGCGCUAAGUGGUGAAGGAUGUGAGACCGCGUAAACAACCAGGAGGUUGGCUUAGAAGCAGCCAUCCUUUAAAGAAAGCGUAAUAGCUCACUGGUCGAAUGUGGUCUUGCGCCGAAUAUUCAACGGGGCUCAAGCGCGUCGCCGAAGCCGCGGAUUGCCACCUCUGGUGGCGAUGGUAGGGGAGCAUUGGAGUUGCCUGCGAAGGUCGACCGUGAGGACGGCUGGAGGUACUCCAAGAGAUGAUGUUGGCAUAAGUAGCGAUAAACCAGGUGAGAAACCUGGUCGCCGAAAACCCAAGGGUUCCCUGGCUAGGCUAAUCCGCCAGGGGUUAGUCGGGUCCUAAGCCGAGGCCGAGAGGCGUAGGUGAUGGAAAUCAGGUUAAUAUUCCUGGACCACUUCGAGGAGGUUGAAGCGAGGGGGGACGGAGAAGGGUAGGCCAUCCGGGUGAUGGACGUCCCGGUUCAAGGUUGUAGGGGGAUCUCCCAGGAGGCCUCGUGCCGCAAACGGGAGGUCGCCAACCCCGAGAACUGAUGAGCGUGUCAAUCCUUCGGGUGCGAUACGACUGGUCGAUCCCAUGCUUCCAAGAAAAGCCCCGCGUGGACGAAUCGGAGUGCCCGUACCGGAAACCGACACAGGUGGGUGGGGUGAGAAACCCAAGGCGCUUGGGUGACUCCUCCUUAAGGAACUCUGCAAAUUGCCACCGUAACUUCGGGAGAAGGUGGGCCUGGUCGGGUCAGGGGACUCGCUCCCGCAGCCUGACCGGGUCGCAGAGAGCAGGGGGUAGCGACUGUUUACCAAAAACACAGCACUCUGCCAAGUCGUAAGACGACGUAUAGGGUGUGACGCCUGCCCGGUGCCGGAAGGUUAAGGGGAGAUGUCAGGGCAACCGAAGCAUUGAACCGAAGCCCCGGUAAACGGCGGCCGUAACUAUAACGGUCCUAAGGUAGCGAAAUUCCUUGUCGGGUAAGUUCCGACCUGCACGAAUGGCGUAACGACUUCCCCACUGUCUCGAGGAGGAUCCCAGCGAAAUUGGAGUCUCGGUGCAGAUACCGGGUUCCCGCGGCUAGACGGAAAGACCCCGGAACCUUUACUGCAACUUGGCAGUGAAUAUUGGGCGGGUUUGUGUAGGAUAGGUGGGAGGCGUUGAAGUGGGGGCGCUAGCUUCCAUGGAGCCGUCCUUGAAAUACCACCCUGAUUCGUCCGGUGUUCUAACCUGCGUCGGUCAUCCCGACGAGGGACACUGCCUGGUGGGUAGUUUGACUGGGGCGGUCGCCUCCCAAAAUGUAACGGAGGUGUGCAAAGGUCCCCUCAGCCUGAUUGGAAACCAGGCGUCGAGUGCAAAGGCAUAAGGGGGCUUGACUGCGAGACUGACAGGUCGAGCAGGUGCGAAAGCAGGCCUUAGUGAUCCGGUGGUCCCGCAUGGAAGGGCCAUCGCUCAUCGGCUAAAAGGUACUCUGGGGAUAACAGGCUGAUCACGCCCAAGAGUUCACAUCGACGGCGUGGUUUGGCACCUCGAUGUCGGCCCAUCGCAUCCUGGGGCUGGAGUAGGUCCCAAGGGUCCGGCUGUUCGCCGGUUAAAGCGGUACGCGAGCUGGGUUCAGAACGUCGUGAGACAGUUCGGUCUCUAUCUGCCGCGGGUGUAGGAGUCUUGAGGGGACCUGCCCUUAGUACGAGAGGACCAGGGUGGACGAACCUCUGGUUUGCCGGUUGUCGCGCCAGCGGCAUUGCCGGGUAUCCACGUUCGGAACGGAUAACCGCUGAAAGCAUCUAAGUGGGAAGCCGACCCCAAAACAAGGACUCCCAGCGCAAGCUCUGAAGGCCCGUCGGAGAACACGACGUUGAUAGGCCACAGGUGUAAGCGUGGUAACACGUUCAGCCAAGUGGUACUAAUCGGCCGUGCGGCUUGACCAU
This 3029-nucleotide ribosomal RNA is filed under the name Myxococcota bacterium. Its description in RNAcentral is "23S ribosomal RNA". It matches the Rfam family "Bacterial large subunit ribosomal RNA". The record is from RNAcentral. Lineage: Bacteria; Pseudomonadati; Myxococcota.